CGGUUCAAAUGCUGCUACUACGCCCCCUCCUCCUUCUUUCUCCAAAAGGGGACCAAACCCAACCCUAAAAGGUAAAAACCCCAUUAGAGCAGAAUAACAGCUAGGCACCCUCACCAUUAUUGGCGCUGUCGUCGCAUCUCCGCCAGCCGCAAUCCCCACUACUCAAGCUCCUCUCCUCUGUCGCCAGGUGACUCGCUUUGCAACUUGUAUCUCUCUCAUUCCUAUUUCGCUGCACUGCCCCUGUUUUGCUGGCACCAUUGCUCAAGCUCGCCUCCUCCAUUGUAAUGCAUCUUGUGUCGCAACUUAUGCGGUGUCGCAACUCGUCUCCUUCAUCUCGUUCGUCUGUCGCAGAUCCCCCGUUCUGCCGCGCUUUCCCCUCCUCCUUCAUUCAAUUUCUUUGAGUAUUCUUGUUUUUCUGAGUUAAUUUCUUUGAUUAUUGACUGUUGUUAACAGGAAGAAUUGUUGAUUGUUGUUUUUGUUGAGUUACUUACUAUUGUUUUUUUUUCAAAUUUCGGAGUUAAUUUUUUACUUUGAUCUGAAUUUUUGUGCUAUUGAUCUAAUCUCGAAAUUUUGUUCUCAAUUAGUUGUACAUAUUCUUCAUGUUAAUUAUAUUUUUGUAUUCUUUUAUGUAAAAGCUAAAUGGACUUUGGUUUUUUCAUAGUGAAUAAAAUGAGAUUUUGAUCCUACAUGCAAUGUUCUAAUGUUACAGUGAACCCAAUCCAUCAUUGAAGGACAAAAUGACUUUAGACUCAAUAGCUAAUUCUGUUGAGCAUUUGACCCAAAUAGUCCAAUCUCUUGUUUAACUAUUGGAAAAUAAUGUCAGCUCUCCCUCUAAGGUGUUUAAGGUCUUUGGUUCUAAUUCUAAGACUCUUAACUAACAAAGUAGUGCGUCGAAUAAUCUAUUGUUGCUAUGGUGUAUUGAGAAGGCCAAGACAGAUCUCUCCAUUGCUAAAAAAAGGAGAACAGAUUCACUUGCUCCAAUCAAUAUUCCUGGAUUAGAGCUACCUAGUUGGGUGCAAGUCUGUUUUAGACCAACAGCUUCAAUGGGUUUGGACGAAAUUGAACUUGCAAUUGCAGUAUACUUGUAUGGUAAUCAUUUGAUGGAUAACUACGAGGAGGAUAUAGUAUUUUCAGAGCUUACAGCUCGUAGAGAUGUAUUCAGGAGCUUGAUGCCAGGAAAGUCAAUUGUUUCUCUUGUGCUAGACUUAGUAGCAGAUAUGAUGAGGAUAGAGUUGACCAGAGAAAGUGGUUAUUGGUUUUUACCCACAACUUUUGCAGUCAGUAUAUAGGAGUGUAUACUAAAAUAAUAUUGGUAGUUGUUAUUUGUAUUGCGCAUAUAAACUAGUGGCUGAAAUAAUGUAGCUGUCAGAGAAGACAAAAUUGGAUCCCUACCAUCUACCGUCUUGUAUCACGUAUGUUUAUUUGGGCGAAGUUGACUGCUUAAAAAGAGUCUUUAUCCAUGUAUCUGAAACUAUUGACGAAGGUCAUGAACACUGGUACCUCAUAGUGAUUGAACGUGUUAAAAGACAAAUCAUUUUGCUAGACCCAUUUUCCAUUGAGAAACACAGUUCAAGCGAAAGAGGACAACCUUGAAAUUAGCCAUUUAUUUGGACGAGGUAUUGGAAGAUCGUUCAUUCUAUGACUUUAAGACCACUCCAAAUCUGAUUUCUUCACAGUUUGAAUUUGAAGAGCCAGAAGGCCUUCCCAACCUCGAAGCUGGGUCGAAUGACGCGGGUGUGUGGGUUGCAAGUUGGAUGAUAGCUUGUUUUGAAGAUGAUCAUUUUAACAUAAAGGUGGAUGAUGGAGUUCGCAUGAAGAUUGAAUUCUCACUCGUGUCAAAGAAUCAUAAUAUGAUCAGCUAUAGGGUCAAAAGAAAUGCCAUUGAAAAUCUUGAUAAGUUGAUGGAAGUUACGGGUUCCACAGGAAGAGUGAGCAAUAAUCUAAAUCUAGAAAUUGUUAAUGCUUUGAACACUCAAUCAAUCAAGGCAUUGUAGACGAUGAAUCCAGUGCUGCUAUUGGCAUAAUGUUUCUUGAGGAAGGUGACACAUGCAGAAAAUGUAUUGCCGUUUUGGUAGGCCUUUCUAGUCAGCUUAAUUCCUCAGAAUUUAUUGAUUCCAUGAAAACAACAAUGUCUUGUCUGAAUAUGCGGCAAGUUGAAUUUUGCACAAGGACCUGUCAAAUACUAUAUUAUUUUGUAUAUAUUACGAGUCUUGAAAGAAACAUUACUCGUUAUAGCUAUUUAUCAUUUAGGUCAUUAGUUGAAAUCCAUAGAAGUUUUAAUUUUAAUGAUUACCAUGUAGUUCUUCUUGGGUGAUCUGUUCUUUAAUUCUGUGGUAACUGACCUUAAGUAUUAGUAUGAAUGAGAUCAUAGAUUUGUUGAAAACAAUCUCAAUAUGAUGAA
This is a long non-coding RNA of Arachis duranensis, 2401 nucleotides long. RefSeq lists it as uncharacterized. The transcript is spliced from 8 exons. The record is from RefSeq and is a predicted model, not a curated record. Lineage: Eukaryota; Viridiplantae; Streptophyta; Magnoliopsida; Fabales; Fabaceae.